UUGGAGGGCAAGUCUGGUGCCAGCAGCCGCGGUAAUUCCAGCUCCAAUAGCGUAUAUUAAAGUUGUUGCAGGUAAAAAGCUCGUAGUUGAAUUUCGGGGUCAGUAGGUUGGUCAUGCCACAGGUAUGUACUGGUCUCACUGAUUCCUCCUUCCUGAUGAACUGUAAUGCCAUUAAUUUGGUGUUGCAGGGAAUCUGGACUGUUACUUUGAAAAAAUUAGAGUGUUUAAAGCAGGCUAACGCCUGAAUACAUUAGCAUGGAAUAAUGAAAUAGGACGUUCGAUCCUAUUUUGUUGGUUUCUAGGAUUGACGUAAUGAUUAAUAGGGAUAGUUGGGGGCAUUAGUAUUCAACUGUCAGAGGUGAAAUUCUUGGAUUUAUUGAAGACUAACUACUGCGAAAGCAUUUGCCAAGGAUGUUUUCAUUAAUCAAGAACGAAAGUUAGGGGAUCGAAGACGAUCAGAUACCGUCGUAGUCUUAACCAUAAACUAUGCCGACUAGGGAUCGGAUGAUGUUAAUUUUUUAAUGACUCAUUCGGCGCCUUACGGGAAAC
RNAcentral lists this ribosomal RNA (549 nucleotides) under uncultured Glomus. RNAcentral's name for it is "SSU rRNA". It matches the Rfam family "Eukaryotic small subunit ribosomal RNA", at positions 548 to 1098 of the family's 1831-position model. Lineage: Eukaryota; Fungi; Glomeromycota; Glomeromycetes; Glomerales; Glomeraceae. The record is from RNAcentral.